RNAcentral lists this ribosomal RNA (466 nucleotides) under uncultured bacterium. Its description in RNAcentral is "partial 16S ribosomal RNA". It matches the Rfam family "Bacterial small subunit ribosomal RNA", at positions 28 to 507 of the family's 1533-position model. The record is from RNAcentral.
GAUAAACGCUGUCGGCGUGCUUAACACAUGCAAGUCGAACGGAAAGUCCCAAGCUUGUUUCGUUACUCUAGUGCCACACGUGUGUGUAACACGUUGCUGAUCUGCCCCUCACUUCGGGAUAAGCCUGGGAAACUGGGUCUACUACCGGAUAGGACCACUCCUUGGAGGUUGUGCUGGACAGUUUUUUCGGUGUGGGAUGAGCUCGCGGCCUAUCAGCUUGUUCGUGGGGUAAUGGCCUACCAAGGCGUCGACGGGUAGCCGGCCUGAGAGGGUUUACGGCCACAUUGGGACUGAGAUACGGACCAGACUCCUACGGGAGGCAGCAGUGGGGAAGAUUGCACGAGGGGAGCAAGUCUGAUGCAGCGAUGCAGGGUGGGGGAGGACGGCCUUCGGGUUGUAAACUGCUUUUGGUAGGGACGAAGAGCAAGUGACGGUACCUAGAGAAGAAGCACCGGCUAGCUACGUG